GGGUGACUAGUCUAGUGGUCAGGACGCUUCGUUGUGGUUCAAGAGUCAAAUCUUGAUAACAACGACCGAAGAAACCCCGGUUCGAUUCCGGGGUCGCCCA
Molecule: non-coding RNA, 100 nt
Organism: Podospora fimiseda
Lineage: Eukaryota; Fungi; Ascomycota; Sordariomycetes; Sordariales; Podosporaceae
Source: the annotation of a GenBank genome assembly